CAAGGAUUAAAGAAUAACAAAUCAAAAAUUUUCACCAAAAUAUAACAUUUUACACAGAAGUCAUCACUGACUUGGGGAGGAAGGACUUAGUAAUUUUAAACCUUUUUAAUCCAUUCAUGGUUGAUUGAUUGUUCUUCCUAAGGCUUUGGUGGUUCUGCAGCAGCAGAUUCCUCCACCUUUGGAGGAGGAGCCUCAGCAGCAGCUUCUGGCUCAGUAGGUUUAGGUUUUUUAACCUCCUCUUUCUUCUCCUCCACCACCACCUCUUCUUUUUUCUCUUCUUCGAUCACUAUCUCCUUUUCUUUUACAACACCACUUGUUUCCUCCUCAGUUUUUGUUGCUUCUGCUGGCGGUGGCAGCGGCUCUACCGUUUCCUCAGUCACAAUGAAUGUUGAGACCUUCUCGAACACAAAGAAAACUGGACCUGAAACAUAGGCUGACCCAUAUUUUGAAGAGGCUUCUGAUACUGUUUUGGAUCCUGGGAAUUCUGUUCAUGCAAAUAUAGAUUCAACCCAAUUAAUUAAAUAAUUAAAAACACAAGAAGUUUUUAAGAAUUAAACCCAAAAAUCGUUGAAUAUGAUUUAAAUAAUUUACAUACCAAUUUUAGCCAACUCUUCAAGGAACUUGUGGACUGCGGCUGAGUACUUCUUCAAUCCUGACUCUUUGCGCUCCUUAACCAAAAUCUGUUAAAUAUGAAAUUAAGUUAAAGAAAAAGAGUUUAUGACCACUUAAUUAUUGGUUUAUUAAUUCACUCUUUUAUUGUUUAUCUCUUAAGUUGUCUUAUGAACAAGAUUUUUGGCAUACACAGAUACAUACUUGUAUGCAACUGGUGACAAGACAUAUUUUCUCAUCUUAUACGACAAGUUUCUAAAUAUCUUACCUUGAUUUCAGCUGAGGAAGCUUCAUAUAAUUCAAUUACUUUUGGUUGAAGCUCAGCCUUCUUCUCUUCAAACUCCUUGGUUAUUUCCUCCUGAAAGCAGAUGCAUAUACAGUUAUACCACAAAUAUCGAUGAACCGUUUUAUCCGUAUGAUUUUCUUCAGAAAAUA
This 1044-nucleotide long non-coding RNA is filed under the name Malus domestica (apple). RNAcentral describes it as "long non-coding RNA (MDOM_LNC005250)". Lineage: Eukaryota; Viridiplantae; Streptophyta; Magnoliopsida; Rosales; Rosaceae. The record is from RNAcentral.